GGAUCAGUGGCGGACGGGUGAGUAACACGUGAGCAACCUGGCUCUAAGAGGGGGACAACAGUUGGAAACGACUGCUAAUACCGCAUAACGUAUCGGGAUGGCAUCUUCCUGAUACCAAAGAUUUUAUCGCUUAGAGAUGGGCUCGCGUCUGAUUAGAUAGUUGGCGGGGUAACGGCCCACCAAGUCGACGAUCAGUAGCCGGACUGAGAGGUUGAACGGCCACAUUGGGACUGAGACACGGCCCAGACUCC
Molecule: ribosomal RNA, 251 nt
Filed under: uncultured Oscillospiraceae bacterium
Lineage: Bacteria; Bacillati; Bacillota; Clostridia; Eubacteriales; Oscillospiraceae
Description: partial 16S ribosomal RNA
Rfam family: Bacterial small subunit ribosomal RNA
Source: RNAcentral